CCUACGGGGGGCAGCAGUCGAGAAUCAUUCACAAUGGGGGAAACCCUGAUGGUGCGACGCCGCGUGGGGGAAUGAAGGUCUUCGGAUUGUAAACCCCUGUCAUGUGGGAGCAAAUUAAAAAGAUAGUACCACAAGAGGAAGAGACGGCUAACUCUGUGCCAGCAGCCGCGGUAAUACAGAGGUCUCAAGCGUUGUUCGGAAUCACUGGGCGUAAAGCGUGCGUAGGCUGUUUCGUAAGUCGGGUGUGAAAGGCGCGGGCUCAACCCGCGGACGGCACAUGAUACUGCGAGACUAGAGUAAGGGAGGGGGAACCGGAAUUCUCGGUGUAGCAGUGAAAUGCGUAGAUAUCGAGAGGAACACUCGUGGCGAAGGCGGGUUCCUGGACAGUAACUGACGCUGAGGCACGAAGGCCAGGGGAGCGAAAGGGAUUAGAUACCCUUGUAGUC
This 446-nucleotide ribosomal RNA is filed under the name uncultured bacterium. RNAcentral describes it as "partial 16S ribosomal RNA". It matches the Rfam family "Bacterial small subunit ribosomal RNA", at positions 338 to 795 of the family's 1533-position model. The record is from RNAcentral.